GCCCUGGUGGUGAAAUUGGUAGACACAAGGGAUUUAAAAUCCCUCGCCGUUCGCGGCGUGCCGGUUCAAGUCCGGCCCGGGGCACCA
Molecule: transfer RNA, 87 nt
Filed under: Photobacterium ganghwense
Lineage: Bacteria; Pseudomonadati; Pseudomonadota; Gammaproteobacteria; Vibrionales; Vibrionaceae
Description: tRNA-Leu
Rfam family: tRNA
About the family: Transfer RNA (tRNA) molecules are approximately 80 nucleotides in length. Their secondary structure includes four short double-helical elements and three loops (D, anti-codon, and T loops).
Source: RNAcentral